UACGAGGGGAGCAAGCGUUGUCCGGAUUUAUUGGGCGUAAAGAGCGUGUAGGCGGCCAGAUAGGUCAGCUGUGAAAACCCGGGGCUCAACUCCGGGCUUGCAGUGGAUACGGGCAGACUAGAGUUCGGUAGGGGAGACUGGAAUUCCUGGUGUAGCGGUGAAAUGCGCAGAUAUCAGGAGGAACACCGGUGGCGAAGGCGGGUCUCUGGGCCGAUACUGACGCUGAGGAGCGAAAGCGUGGGGAGCGAACAGG
Molecule: ribosomal RNA, 253 nt
Filed under: uncultured bacterium
Lineage: Bacteria
Description: partial 16S ribosomal RNA
Rfam family: Bacterial small subunit ribosomal RNA
Source: RNAcentral